UGAGUAACCUGCCCUUCAUUCUGGGAUAACUCCGGGAAACCGGGGCUAAUACUGGAUAUGACACCUCCUGGCAUCGGGUGGGUGUGGAAAGUUUUUCGGUUGGGGAUGGACUCGCGGCCUAUCAGCUUGUUGGUGGGGUAAUGGCUCACCAAGGCGACGACGGGUAGCCGGCCUGAGAGGGCGAUCGGCCACACUGGGACUGAGACACGGCCCAGACUCCUACGGGAGGCAG
Molecule: ribosomal RNA, 232 nt
Filed under: uncultured bacterium
Lineage: Bacteria
Description: partial 16S ribosomal RNA
Rfam family: Bacterial small subunit ribosomal RNA
Source: RNAcentral